GGGUGUGAUCGUACCCGCACUAAUGCGCCAGAUCCCAUCAGAACUCCGCAGUUAAGCGCUUAUGGGCGAGAGCCGUACUAGGAUGGGCAACUUGUUAGAAAGUCCUCGUGUUGCACCCC
Gossypium raimondii (Peruvian cotton) is the source of this 119-nucleotide non-coding RNA. Lineage: Eukaryota; Viridiplantae; Streptophyta; Magnoliopsida; Malvales; Malvaceae. The record is from Rfam.